This 164-nucleotide non-coding RNA is filed under the name Caulobacter sp. RNAcentral describes it as "6S RNA". It matches the Rfam family "6S / SsrS RNA". Rfam says of the family: E. coli 6S RNA was the first non coding RNA to be sequenced, but its function was unknown until recently. It consists of 184 nucleotides that fold into an extended hairpin structure with a large single-stranded internal bulge. The record is from RNAcentral. Lineage: Bacteria; Pseudomonadati; Pseudomonadota; Alphaproteobacteria; Caulobacterales; Caulobacteraceae.
GUCUUGCUGUGGCUCUCGUCGAAGGCAACUAAUCCCGGGGACCUUAAUUCACCUCUAGGGAGCUGUCCCUGACAGGGUCCGUGGACCCUGACACACGGCGCCCACCUGUUCACGACAGGUCCGAGGGGAUUUAAAACGCCUUCACGGUUCUUCGCGGCGCCGCC